AUGUUUUAUGGGCACACAUGCAGAGGAGUUUUCGUCACUCAAAAGCCCGACGACUUCCCCUGCCAACCCGUUGGAAUGAAAAGAAACCUCGAUAACCUCUUACACACAUGGAAAUGGAACCCUGAGCAGAGAUUGUGGUGGGUAUCUGUACAGCCUAAGGACCUUGGGUGGACCUGGCCAGCAAUGAGACUGCUAUUGACAAUGCAUCACGUGAUGUCACUAGGGCAAGCAUAGAUCAGCUGCGGAUCAACCUUCCUGCCUGGUGUGCAUGAAAAUGUAAGUUAUGUGCUUCCUUCAGCCCCAACCCUGUUGUCCACACCAGAAUCUGGAAAUAAUCUCAUUGGAAUUGGGAGAAUGAUUGAUGAUACUCAGUGGUGAGUGUUUUAAUAUCUACAAUUUUUUAAAUAGUCUAGCACCUAAAGAAAAAAAUGAUCCUUUCUUCAGUACUUGGCUAUUUGUGGCAAACUUUAAGAAGGUGGAACCAUUUACAAUCACAAAAAUAUUAAUUCUAUUAAGUAUACACCCAUUAGAAUUACCAGAGGCGUGAGGAGUUAACUGCUUAGCAGAGCAAAUAGGCCUGAAUGGGGUUACAUGCAAAAUGAAACAAAAUUCCCCAUGCUUGUUCUCUUGAGUGUCAACACCUUAAGCUUCAUAAAAAUUCCACUAGUUGAGCUUGGAGGAGAAACCAGAGUUGGAAUGAUCUUUGAAGAAUGAAUCCACCUCUCGCUCUGGGAUUCUUUACAGAAUGUCUUAUGUUUAAGUCUCAGGUGCAUCCAUAUCAACUUGUUUUCAAAAUAGGUAAAUAUCUUAAAGUAUUUUGUAAAUUGCAGAAAAUCUAUUGCAUUAUGAGAAAAAGUAUGGAGGUCACACUGUAUCUCUAAACUAGAUGUGGAAAUCAGUAUUUGUUGAAUUGAUUGGAAUAUAUAUUGAUUUAAUAGUUUUGCUACAUGCCUAGUAUAAAUUGAGGGAGAUAUUUGGAAGUAAGGAAGAUGUUUUGUUAAAUUUGUUUAUUUAACAAGUGCUCAUUACUAGAGGUUUGAAAAUUAUAACAUACUAUCUCUGCCCUCAAGGAUUUAAUAGGCUAAAUUUUGGGAGUGGAGAAGGUGGAAAUAUAAACACAGAUAUCAAACGAAUUGUCAUGUGUUAUAAUAGUUUAGUGUAUUUGGUUAAAAUGAAUUCAUAAAGGUUAUUUAUCAUUUCAUCUGGAAGAGUUAAUAGGAAAAAGACAGCAUUUGGCUAAGGUCUUGUAGAGUGAGAAUUGUUUGAGGGGGAUGAGGAGAAAGUGUAAGUAAUUAGGUAUUUAGAUAGAGGAACAUUGGUUUCAAAUUUGUUAAAUGCACGUUUUUACCCUGGCAAACUAAGU
Molecule: long non-coding RNA, 1363 nt
Filed under: Macaca mulatta (Rhesus monkey)
Lineage: Eukaryota; Metazoa; Chordata; Mammalia; Primates; Cercopithecidae
Description: lncRNA (ENSMMUG00000055340.1)
Source: RNAcentral